This 330-nucleotide RNase P RNA is filed under the name Campylobacter sp. RNAcentral describes it as "RNase P RNA component class A". It matches the Rfam family "Bacterial RNase P class A". Rfam says of the family: Ribonuclease P (RNase P) is a ubiquitous endoribonuclease, found in archaea, bacteria and eukarya as well as chloroplasts and mitochondria. Its best characterised activity is the generation of mature 5'-ends of tRNAs by cleaving the 5'-leader elements of precursor-tRNAs. Cellular RNase Ps are ribonucleoproteins. Lineage: Bacteria; Pseudomonadati; Campylobacterota; Epsilonproteobacteria; Campylobacterales; Campylobacteraceae. The record is from RNAcentral.
UAAGUAUGGCGAGUGACUGCGAGGCAUAAAAGUGUUUCGAGGAAAGUCCGAGCUGCUCUAAGACAUGGUUUCAUCUAACAGAUGACUAGGGCGACCUAAGGGAAAGUGCAACAGAAAACAGACUACUGCUCACAAAGAGCAGAAAAGGUGAAAAGGCGGUGUAAGAGACCACCAGCAUUUAUGGCAACAUAAGUGGCUUGCAAACCCAACCUGCAGCAAGAAGGGAUGGUUUAGUCUUAGAUAAAAACCCUUCGCUUGAACCAAUUUGUGAAAUUUGGUCUAGAUAAAUAGUCACCUAAACAGAACUCGGCUUAUAGCCAUACUUAUCUA